GUCCUAGCUUCCGUAGUACAUAUACUAAAAUUGGCAUGAUACAUAGAAGAUUAGCAUGGCCCCUGCUCAAGGAUUACACACAGAUUCAUGAGGCAUACCAUAUUUUU
Erinaceus europaeus (western European hedgehog) is the source of this 107-nucleotide small nuclear RNA. NCBI's taxonomy places the organism in Eukaryota, Metazoa, Chordata, Mammalia, Eulipotyphla, Erinaceidae. The record is from Ensembl.